Molecule: long non-coding RNA, 2701 nt
Filed under: Homo sapiens (human)
Lineage: Eukaryota; Metazoa; Chordata; Mammalia; Primates; Hominidae
Description: TRHDE antisense RNA 1
Source: RNAcentral
AUUCUCGAUGAGCGCGUUGUAGAUAAUCUUCAGAUUGUAAUUCCUCUGCGCGUCCAGUGUCCUAUUCAGCACCACCACUAAGACCUGGGUUUGCGGGUAGAGGAAAAAACCGGCUACAGGGACAGCCCCGAACGCCCGGUCCUCGGCCAGCUGCACUUUCUCCACCGCCACUCGGGAAGCGUGCAGCACUACGUAGCGGGUGGCGUUCCGGCACGCGAUCUCCACGUUGACCUCCCCGGAGAAGGUGAAGUUCUCCAUGAAGGCGGUGAGCAUCAGAUUGUAGUGCAGCGGCUUCAGGUGGCCCGACAGGCGCAGCUGCGUCCACGGCUCCCACGGCUCCCGCUCCUCCUCCGACGGCGGCUGGGCCGACGUGGUCCCCGGACUGGCCACCCCACCCGCCUCGGGCUGCCAGGAGUCCCCGCCUGCGUGGUGGUUGCGCCGGGCCGAUCCAGGGAGGCUCCCGUUGCCGCCGCGCUCCGGAAAGCCUGAGGGGCCACCGUCGGCGCCUGGCGUGGCACUCGCCCCGCACUCGUCGAAGCGCAGGCUGAGCAGCACAGCGAGCAUUGUGACCGCGAGCAAUGCCACGAGGGACACAGCGAAGGCCAGCACAAGCCGCUUGUGUACGGCGAUGUGGCGCUCCGUGGUGCGGGGUCGCACUCCCACUGAGUCUGCCCACGGGUCGGAGAGCCCCCUGCUGCCAGCCCGAAGCGCGGCGUCGUCUUCCCCCAUCGCGGCUGCGAAGGCGGCGGCGUUCGGUCCUCUGGGUGGAAUGUGCUCGCAGCAGCAGUGACGGCGGCCACAGCACGGGAGGCACCCGAGCCAUACACCCUGCAGCUGGAGAGAAAAGGAUGGCCGAGGUGGGAGAGACUAGAGUGAACCAGCAGGAGGAAGUCCCAGGGCCGCGAAGCUACGACGGAGAUCCGUCCUGGAAAAGCCUUCUCCACCCUGGGCACUUUAAGCGGCGGUGGCGGCAAACGGCAGGAGGUUGCAGACCCGACAGCGAGACUCCCUCAUUCCAGUCUUGCUCUGCCCUCCGGAGAUGACAAGUGAGAAAGAAGUGUCCGGCCGGGCCAUCCCCUUCAGAGAAGCAACCACUUCACAAGAAGAUUCUGAAGUUGGCCAUUUUUGAUCCCAGAACAGUUUCUCAUAGAUUAGAAAUAUUGGAGUCUACACAAAAAUCGAUAUUCAUUUACAAGAUCAUCACUAAACUUAUCUUGCAUAACUUACCAAGAAUAACUGUAAAAUGUGCUGGGAAUGCAAUGUCCUGAGAUAAGGAAGAACUGCCUGAAACAGCCUGGAUCUUAUUCCUGUACUUCCUAGGGAAUGUAACAUCUCAAGUUAAAGAGGAACUGCCCGGAACAGCCCGGGGAUUGUUCCUCUCUCCUGAGAAGGAAGAUUACCUCCAAAGCUCAUCCACUGAGUCACACUGCCCCUGUGGUGGAGGGCGGGCUGCCUUUCCAGGUUCCUCAGCUGUGGUGUAACUGAAGCAGGCACAAUCAAGACUCCAUCUGCUCGAGGCAGCUUUCUCGAACCUUGGGGAACCUACUCACAAUGGAUCACAGGCUUCUUUUGUUUUGUUUCUUGCUGCCUAUCUUGGGAAGCAAAAAUCAGCUGAGUGAAGAUGAGGAAGAAGGUGUUAAAGGUUUGAAGAAAAAAGGAAAAGGAUAUACUAAUCUAAGAGGACAAGUAAGUAGAACAUAGAUAAUGAAAAUGCUGGCCCUUAGGACUGUUGGGCCUAAAUGCUCAUAUUAUAUUGGUAGUCACAAAUUUGAACUUUCUCUAGAGCCAAUUUUUGCAUGUGUGUGCAGGCCUGGAGUAGUUGGAGAGUUGGAUUUAAUAGAAUUGAGGGUCAAGCAACUACAACCAGGGAAGAGUGGGACAAGGGAGAUAAAGGAUAUUGGCAGGGGAGCAAUUAUAAACAUGGACCAUGAUCAAAACUGGACAGGAAGGAAAAUAGAGAUAAGAGGGGUGGAAGGUUAAAAAUAGUGAAAAUGAGAUAGAAUGAAUAGGUUGUAGGUCCCUGUAAAGUUGAAGAAGUAUUAUUAUGCAGUACUCGUUAUUGAAAUGAGGUCACUAUGCUUAAGGCACAGUGAAUCCUAGAAAAUAGUGGUUUUGUUUCUCAUUAGGCAAUACAUUCCUCCUUGCUCCAGAAUGCAACAUACAUGUAUCCUUUUCUGUACUAUUUUUUAUUAAGAAUUCAUACUUAAUUCCACUGACUGCCACUCAAUUUUAAUGUACAGUAGGGAAUUCCUGUACUAUGUAUUAUGAAUCCAUUCCUUUGAAUUUCAUUUAUAAUACUUCAUGACUGACACCUGGCUUUCCACCAAGACUCAAUUUUCAUAGCAAGCCUCAUCAUCAUAAGCCCCCAAAUUAACAGGAUGAGGAGGAAGAAUUGGCAGGCUAAAGAAGAUGAUUAUAUCAAUUAAUGCAGAAAAAGCAUUUGAUAAAAUCCAAUAUUCAUUUGUAAUUAAAAACUCUCAGCAAGUUAGGGAUAGGAAUUACUUCAACUUAAUGAAGAGUGUCUUUAAAAACCUUAUUUUCAUCAGUUAUAACAAAUGUACCACUCUGGUGGUGAAUGUUGCUAAGGAGGGAAGCUAUACAUGUGUGGGGAAAGGAGAUGUGUGAGCAAUUUCUGUACCUUCUACUCAAUCUUCUGUGAGACUAAAAUUGCUGUAAAAAAUAAAGUUCAUUUUUUUAAAAA